AUAGCAGGCCGGGCGGCCGCCCCUUUUCAGGGGAGGAAAGUCCGAGCUUUCAAGGGCGAGGAUGCCUCGUAACACGAGGGGGUCCCGACCUAAAGGUCGGGAUCACGGAAAGCGCCGCAGAAAAUACACCGCCCCCGAUUCUUAUCGGGGGUAAGGGUGAAAAGGUGGUGUAAGAGACCACCGGGUUCGCCGCAAGGCGGAUCGCAAGGCAAGCCCCAUCCGAAAGAAAGGCCAAAUAGGGGGAAAGAGGUGGCCCGCCUCGUUGGAUCCCCGGGUAGGCCGCAUGAUCCCGGUGGCAACAUCGGGACCAGAUAGAUGGCCGCCGUCCCGACGUUUCCUUCCGGAAUACGUCGGGAUACAGAACUCGGCUUACAGGCCUGCUUUAUUU
This 388-nucleotide RNase P RNA is filed under the name Candidatus Zixiibacteriota bacterium. RNAcentral's name for it is "candidate division Zixibacteria bacterium RNase P RNA component class A". It matches the Rfam family "Bacterial RNase P class A". Rfam says of the family: Ribonuclease P (RNase P) is a ubiquitous endoribonuclease, found in archaea, bacteria and eukarya as well as chloroplasts and mitochondria. Its best characterised activity is the generation of mature 5'-ends of tRNAs by cleaving the 5'-leader elements of precursor-tRNAs. Cellular RNase Ps are ribonucleoproteins. Lineage: Bacteria; Pseudomonadati; Candidatus Zixiibacteriota. The record is from RNAcentral.